This 401-nucleotide ribosomal RNA is filed under the name uncultured organism. Its description in RNAcentral is "bacterial SSU rRNA". It matches the Rfam family "Bacterial small subunit ribosomal RNA", at positions 45 to 433 of the family's 1533-position model. The record is from RNAcentral.
UGCCUAACACAUGCAAGUCGAACGCGAAAGUCCCGCAAGGGAUUAGUAGAGUGGCAAACGGGUGAGUAACACGUGGGUGACCUGCCUUCGAGUGGGGGAUAACGCCCCGAAAGGGUCGCUAAUACCGCAUGACAUCCUGCCUUUGAACAGGCGGAAGUCAAAGCUGGGGAUCGCAAGACCUAGCGCUUGAAGAGGGGCCCGCGCCUGAUUAGCUAGUUGGUGGGGUAACGGCUCACCAAGGCGACGAUCAGUAUCCGGCCUGAGAGGGCGGACGGACACACUGGGACUGAGACACGGCCCAGACUCCUACGGGAGGCAGCAGUGGGGAAUUGUUCGCAAUGGGCGCAAGCCUGACGACGCAACGCCGCGUGGAGGAUGAAGAUCUUCGGGUCGUAGACUCC